GAUGAACGCUGGCGGCGUGCCUAAUACAUGCAAGUCGAGCGAACAGACGAGGAGCUUGCUCCUCUGACGUUAGCGGCGGACGGGUGAGUAACACGUGGAUAACCUACCUAUAAGACUGGGAUAACUUCGGGAAACCGGAGCUAAUACCGGAUAAUAUCUUGAACCGCAUGGUUCAAUAGUGAAAGACGGUUUUGCUGUCACUUAUAGAUGGAUCCGCGCCGCAUUAGCUAGUUGGUAAGGUAACGGCUUACCAAGGCAACGAUGCGUAGCCGAGCUGAGAGGGUGAUAGGCCACCCUGGAACGUGGACACGGUCCAGGCUCCUACGGGAGGCAGCAGUAGGGAAUCUGCCGCAAUAGGCGAAAGCCUGACGGAGCAACGCCGCGUGAGUGAUGAAGGUCUUCGGAUCGUAAAACUCUGUUAUUAGGGAAGAACAGAUGUGUAAGUAACUAUGCACGUCUUGACGGUACCUAAUCAGAAAGCCACGGCUAACUACGUG
Molecule: ribosomal RNA, 497 nt
Filed under: uncultured bacterium
Lineage: Bacteria
Description: partial 16S ribosomal RNA
Rfam family: Bacterial small subunit ribosomal RNA
Source: RNAcentral